RNAcentral lists this long non-coding RNA (3670 nucleotides) under Triticum aestivum (bread wheat). RNAcentral's name for it is "long non-coding RNA (TAES_LNC013842)". Lineage: Eukaryota; Viridiplantae; Streptophyta; Magnoliopsida; Poales; Poaceae. The record is from RNAcentral.
AACUGACAUAGAUCUAAGCCGCCGCUGACCGGACCUGUGGCCGAGCCACUCCACCGCCGACCACGCUCCUCUGCAGAAUGCUCCAUUGCUACAACUGUACUCCGUGAUCUUCCUCUCCCAAGAAGGACUUGUCACCCCAGCAGCGAACGGGGCCGCCUCCUCCACGUUCUCUCCCCCAUGCAGCGGGAAGUCCGUCCCCUCCCGCGAGAAGCUCUGCCUCCUCAACAUCCUCUCCUGAUGGUAGACUUCUGCCCUGAUUUUUUUUUGUUACUGAUGUUUACCCUGAACUUGUUUAUGAUGGUAGCUCUCCCACGUUUUGUCUUACUAUCGUUAUAAUCUUUGAUUUAUUUACAGUGCAUUUUUUAAGGCGAUGUUACAAUUAGGAAUUCCUUUCCAGCCUACUGAUCGAACAGGUCCAGUUUACCUCUCAAGAAAUUUGGCAACUAGUUGAAGCGUAGUAUCUUGAUAAUCAACUAAAAUUGUCCACUAGGAUGACUUUUUCUCACCAUUUAAAAUUGAUAAUCAACUAGCAAUUUACAACUAGAAUCGAAGCAAUGCUACUUUUACUCACUCCUUAAAAAAAUGUUACUUGUACUGAAUUUAUCGGGUAUUAUACUGUGUAUAAAUAAGCGUAGUAUCUUGCGGAUUGUUAUGUAGAUGGUUUGAAAACUUCUUUCUGGGUAAUUUAGAAAAGUCAAAGCACUGAACGGCAUGUCAUAGAUGAUUAUAGCGGGCUUUUAGAUCCAAGGACAAUGACAAUUGGUGAUUAACAAGUGCAUACCUUAGAGUUGUUAACACCUGGCUAAGUUUUUUAGUUGACCUUCAGAGCUCAUUUUAAUUUGAGAUGAAACAAAACUAGUUAUUUUAAGCCUUCAGCCCACUUGCUCUGUCCACCUAGCUAAAUUGUUUGAUGCCUCAAAGUAGUAGCUUGUUUUUUUUUGUGAAAUCUGAUUUGUGGACAGAACAAAUGUUAUUUUUUAUUAUAUAGAUAACUAUAUUCUCAUGGAUGAUGUAGCACAUGGCCAUGCAAAGCUUCUGUUCUUAAGAUUAAAUUUACCUAUCAUGGUUGAUUGCUUAACAAUAUGCUUCUAUGUGUGCAGCUGUAAGUUGAUAAGUCUGGCAAAAGAAGCAACGCGACCACAAGCAAGCUGAGGAGGUAAUAUUCAUAUUUCUCUUGGCUAUUGCUAAGUGAUACUAUUUCUAUGUUUUUGCUGUGUUUAUUUGUUCCAUUUGAUUUGUCUCCUAUAUGCAUAUUAUUUAGGAUGUAACUUUUUUACCUUCAAUUGUUUGUUGUACAGUCCCCUGGUUCUUUAGUUUUGAUAUAAUUUGUACUAUCUUAUAAUGGUUCAUUUGAACUGUAGUGAAGUAGAUAGGUGCUCGCAUGUUAGUCGCCUUUGAUGACAUUUUGACUUGGUCUUUCCUCUACUUCAAGUACCUCUACUUUGAGCACGUUGCUCAAUCCAAGGCAAGUUCUUUAUCCAAUUUUCUCCUUACAAAUAAUGUCUAAUAUUUUGAACAAUUACACUGUGUUAUCUGUUAUGUGCAUGUGGGGGAGAGGAUGUGUACGGAUCUGACGAGCAGCAAGAUUACAGGGGUGGAUAUAUGUCUGCAGUAGAGUUCCUAUUUGAGCCUAAUGCACUAUGAUGCGGUGGCUAGUACUCUGGUCUGAGUCAUGUUCAGGUCAUAUGCAUCUCCUUUAUUCUUUACUUCACUGUUGUGUUGUCUGGUUCAAUUUGAAGCUUGUUCUUCCCCAAUGAAUUUCUAGAGAGUUCAUCUGCCUUGAUCUGCCCGGUCCGGCUGCCGGUUGCCACAUGGGAGGCCAGACGCCCCCGUCCCCUCGAGUUCUGGUCGCGCCCCCUCGAGCAUAUCUGUGCCCCCUUGAUCUGGCCCAUGUAGCCGAUCCUCAGCGGCGCCAAAAUAUUGUAGCGUGCCCAUCUGUUCAAGCGAAGGACAACUAGCUAGCCAAGCAGUCAGUAUUGGUGCAAUUUGCUGAUGGCCCGCUGCUUGCACGCGUCGCUCUAAGGCCCUCGUGAAAUCAAACAAAAAAAAACGCAUCAUUCAGUCUCAGGGUGGAGCAAAAGAAAAACCCGCAUCGCUCAGCCAUUUUUGCUACCGAUUAACUCAUGUAUAAACAGAUAAUCCUACAGUAGUAGGUAUAUAAACGGAUAAUCCGACAAUAGUGAGAACUGGACUGAAAGUUAUUGUAAUAUCUUAUAUUAGAAAAAAGUUUUAUGUUGGCUGUUAGAGUUACAGAGGACCAUUCCAUGAUUUAGAUUUAAUAUGCUACCGAUGGAAAAUAGUUGAACUGAUAGUGUUUUGCAUAUCUGAGCCACAUACAUUGUCCAAAAAAUAUAGGACAACAAGUCCAAAUUAUAAGUGACCCGGGGAGGAUAAAGUGACAUGGAUGACUGAUUAGAAGAUGCAAUGGCAGUGGGCGUGAUGGAUGAAAAAGAGCAGAGUGUUAGAAGAAAUAAUGAGGUGAUAAGGUCUCGAAAUGUUCAUUAUCUCAUGGAAGUUAUUAAUGUGCUAUGUAGCCAAAAGGUUAACAAACAUAUAUAUGUGCAUGUACUCUAGGUUGGCCAUUUGAAACAUGUUCAAGAACAUGUUAUUAGUUGGUAAUAAUUAUAGUUCAUUGUUUAUUAAUAAAUCUCAUUGCUGCAGUGUACUUUUGAUGAACUCUGAUAGUGAUUAUUGCCUGUCCACGUACAGAUAAUUUUAGGGCUUCAGAAUUUUGACAGAAGCAAUGUUGGAUCUGCUGUCACAGAUGUACAUACAGUGUGGUACAUUUUUUUCAUGCUCUAUUACUGUUUGGCUCUUCCACAUAUAUGAAAUAAUGUUGAAGUUCUGAUUUCGGUUGAUGGACGACAAGUGAAUGAUGUAAAUGAAACAUUCAUGGACAUGAGUUUCUUGAAACAUAUCUGAAUUGUAGUUUUGAGUUCUUCGCAUGUUACAUAGGGAAGUAGAAGAAAAAUUGGUUAUAUCAUGUGUUAGGGAUGUUCCCUAAAUUGGUCCAAGACUUCAUUUUCUUCAAGCAUGAAUAAGAAGAAACAAAUAAAAUGGCAAGUGGACAGACUGAUCCUGUGUUGCUGCUGAUGCUACUUCUUUUCCUGUCAUCAUCUUUGCUGACCCUCCUCUACACGCUAUGCUGAUGGUGGUGGUGCUGCUGCCGAGCUGCGCCUCCUCUUCUCAUAAGAGUCGUUCUUUUGCUGAUAGAUAGAAGCACUAGAUUGUGCCUUUAUUAGUCGCAUAUUUAUAUUUAGCAUGCAGAUGCACUUUGGACUAACCUGGAAUCUCACUUUACUUUUUUCAGCUCAACAUUAUAAAGAAAGCCUUGAACACAUCUCAUGAAGGCUUGACAAGAUCUUGAAGUGUUGGAGGUUUGGCAAGAUCUGCAAGGCGUCCAUACUUGGUUUUUUUCUACCCAUUUGGUGUUUGUUUCAGCACAUAAGCUGAUUUGGAUGUGUAGCACAUCUAGAAACAUGUCCAUUUUUUCUUUUGUGGCACAACAUCCUUAAUGCAUCCAGAAACAUGUAUUUGGUCGCUUAUCAAAUGAAGCUUAAGGUUUUGGAUGUGGCUAUUAUGUAACUUUGAUUGAAAAGUAAGUAUAUCUGAGCUGUGAUAUCUGUCCUAAUUGUCCAAACAUACUGAAUGUAUAUUAAAUUAGGGAUAA